RNAcentral lists this ribosomal RNA (937 nucleotides) under uncultured organism. RNAcentral describes it as "bacterial SSU rRNA". It matches the Rfam family "Bacterial small subunit ribosomal RNA", at positions 306 to 1272 of the family's 1533-position model. The record is from RNAcentral.
CCCCACACUGGCACUGAGAUACGGGCCAGACUCCUACGGGAGGCAGCAGUAAGGGAUAUUGCGCAAUGGACGAAAGUCAGACGCAGCGACGCCGCGUGGGCGAUGAAUGCCUUCGGGUUGUAAAGCCCUUUUAUGGGGGAAGAGAAAAAGGACGGUACCCCAGGAAUAAGUCCCGGCUAACUACGUGCCAGCAGCCGCGGUAAAACGUAGGGGACAAGCGUUAUCCGGAUUCACUGGGCGUAAAGAGCGUUGAGGCCGGUUCCGUAAGUUGGGCGUGAAAGCUCCGGGCUUAACUCGGAGAUGUCGUUCAAUACUGCGGGGCUUGAGGACAGCAGAGGAAGGUGGAAUUCCCGGUGUAGUGGUGAAAUGCGUAGAUAUCGGGAGGAACACCCGUGGCGAAGGCGGCCUUCUGGGCUGUUCCUGACGCUGAAGGCGAAAGCUAGGGGAGCGAACGGGAUUAGAUACCCCGGUAGUCCUAGCUGUAAACGAUGGAUGCUGGGUGUGGGGGGUGUAAAUUCCCUCUGUGCCGAAGCAAACGCGUUAAGCAUCCCGCCUGGGGACUACGGCCGCAAGGCUAAAACUCAGACGAAUUGACGGGGGCCCGCACAAGCAGCGGAGCGUGUGGUUUAAUUCGAUGCUACACGAAGAACCUUACCUGGGUUUGACAUGCACGUGGUAGGGAACCGAAAGGGGACCGACCUUCGGGAGCGUGCACAGGUGCUGCAUGGCUGUCGUCAGCUCGUGCCGUGAGGUGUCGGGUUAAGUCCCGUAACGAGCGCAACCCUUGCCCUUAGUUACAAGUGUCUAAGGGGACUGCCCGGGACAACUGGGAGGAAGGUGGGGAUGACGUCAAGUCAGCAUGGCCUUUAUAUCCAGGGCUACACACACGCUACAAUGGCCGGUACAAUAGGUUGCGAAGUCGUGAGGCGGAGCCAAU